CCGGGCAAGGCUAACGUGGUGGCGGAUGCGCUAAGUAGGAAAUCGAUGGAAAACUUAGCGAUGCAUGUUGUGACUCAACCGCAGUUGAUCGAGCAAAUGAAGCGGUUGGAGUUGGAGAUAGUGACUCCUGACACGCCUAUGAGGUUGAUGACAUUGGUGGUACAACCUACCUUAUUGGAAAGAAUCAAAGAAAAGCAAGCUUCCGAUGUGGAGUUGCAAAAGAUUAGAGGAAAAAUGGUUGAUGGUUGCACCGGCGAUUUCCUUGUGGACGACCGAGGGUUGAUGCGCUUUCGAGGACGACUAUGUGUUCCGGCGGAUUCGGAAAUUAAAGAAGAUAUUCUUCAAGAAGCGCACCGAGCGCCCUAUGCUAUACAUCCGGGUGGCACCAAAAUGUAUAAGGACUUAAAGUUGCUCUAUUGGUGGCCUGGGAUGAAAAAGGAUGUUGGCGAGUUUGUCGCUAGAUGCUUAACUUGCCAAUAAGUAAAGGCUGAGCACCGAGUUCCCGCGGGAAAACUUCAGAGUUUGCCUAUUCCCGUGUGGAAAUGGGAGAAGAUCACCAUGGACUUUGUGACUGGAUUGCCACGCUCUCAGGCGGGGCAUGACGCUAUUUGGGUGAUCGUGGAUAGGUUGACGAAGUCGGCGCACUUCAUACCUAUUCAUACGACUUGGACCGGAGAGAAGCUCGCACAAGUGUACCUUGAUGAGAUUGUGCGACUUCAUGGAGUGCCUACAUCGAUUGUAUCUGAUCGCGACACACGCUUCGUGUCUCACUUUUGGAGGAGUCUACAGGACGCCCUAGGCACUCGUCUGGACUUCAGUACUGCUUUCCACCCGCAGAGUGAUGGGCAGUCAGAGCGCACUAUUCAGACCUUAGAGGAUAUGCUCCGGGCAUUUGUGAUAGACUUUCAGGGAGGAUGGUCGCAGUAUCUACCUAUGGCGGAGUUUGCUUAUAACAACAGUUAUCAAGCAAGCAUCAAGAUGGCGCCCUUCGAAGCACUUUAUGGACGGAAAUGUAGAUCGCCACUUCAUUGGAGUGAAGUCGGCGAGAGUCUGGCUUUAGGCCCUGAUGUGCUUCAGGAAGCUGAGGACAAGGUUCGAAUUGCUCGGGAGCGACUUUUGACGGCGCAGAGUAGACAGAGGAGCUACGCCGAUCGACGACGGCGAGACUUGGAGUUCCAAGUUGGAGACCAUGUUUUCUUGAAGGUCUCGCCGACUAGAGGAAUCAAGAGAUUCGGGAUUCGGGGAAAGUUGAGCCCCCGUUUCAUUGGACCGUAUGAGAUCUUGGAACGUAUAGGUCCGGUAGCGUAUCGACUUGCUCUACCACGUAACCUAUCCGGCGUGCACGACGUCUUUCAUGUAUCGGUCCUUCGGAAAUACAUUCACGAUCCAGCUCACGUUUUGGAGACUAUACCAGUGGAGCUGCGCGAGAAUCUGAGCUUCGAGGAGCAACCUGUGAAGAUUUUAGCUCGCGAAGUGAAGAAGUUGCGGAAUCGGGACAUUCCGUAUGUGAAGAUUCUUUGGAGCAACCACGGGGAGCGAGAGGCUACGUGGGAGCUGGAGGGCGCGCUGCAGGAGCGCUAUCCCCAUCUUUUUCAGAUGGAGCCUUGAGGCAUGCUUUGACUUUCGAGUUUCGCGGACGAAACUCCUUUUUAGGAGGGGUGAAUGUAGCACACUGGACCUUUGCAAAUUGCGAGGUUCGAGUGUUUGAUCUGUGUGUCGAGCCAUCUCAGACUUUCUGAAGGGUCGUAGACAGUGUUCCGAUCUAUGGCUCGCAUCCCGAGAAUUGAGGGUUUAAACCUGUACCAAAAUCCCAAAAGGUUGGAUUGUUGGAGUACUCUCGGAUUAGCCUCAGCCAGGCUGUGUACCGGUACAGCCUUGAUGGUUGUACCGGUACAGAAUUUGUACCGGUACGCCUUGAUGGUUGUACCGGUACACAGUAGAUUUUCUGCCAACCCGAGGCUCGGGUUGGGCAGUUUCGCAGGAGGUGUACCGGUACACUUUCCCGUGUACCGGUACACAAUGCAGAAUCUGGGCUGUUUCGUGGGGGGUGUUUUUGCAAUUAUUGCAACCUCUAUUUAAGCACACCCCAGCCCCCUUGUGAGCUCUUUUGAGCCCUAGAUCAGUGGAGAACAGGUGAGAACUCCUCCCCUUUGGCUUCUUCUCCAUUUUUGUUGGGUUUUUGCUAGUUUUGAUCUCUUUUCUCUUCUCCUUCUUGCUUUUUGUGGGUUUUUCACCAUUGGAGAAGUGUGAGAUCUUGGUUGGAGCUUGUUUGAGGAUCAACCUUCAACCCUAGAGGACUUUGGAGCUUGGGUUGGAGCUUCUAAGAGGUUUGUAGCUAUUUCUCUCAUCUAGAUUCGGAUUUUGUGGAAUAUCACUAGAUCAAACCCUAGAUUUAGCAUUUUAGGGCUUAAAAUGGAAAUUUUUGAUUUGUGGGCUUGGGAACCAAAUUGAUGGGUUUAGAACCUUUGUUUAGGUUAGAUUGGAAGGACUCUAACUCCCGUUUGGAGAUCGAGAAAGCUUCCUUCGCAAUCGGUGAGUUUUUCCCUAACCCUAGCUUGAGAAGCUUAAAAAUUGAACUUAGCGUCAUUCGUUUCGACUAGAUGACACUUGUUUCCAUACCUUUAGGGUACUAGGAGGCUUGAGGACACCCUCGUCGAGGCAAACGAGAACUUUCAUUGACGACGAUGGGUUUGGCUUCUGUAAAAUUGGAGGAAAUUCCUCCUAAGUGGUUAAAUGCUUUCAUUCUCUUUAAAUUCAUGCAUAUUCAUGUUUAGUAGCAUUUAUGAGAGUUUUUGAAUGCUUAGAACUCAUAUGUUAUGCAUCAAGAAAAUUUACUCUAUAUAGUAGAGAGAGAGACAAUAUGCUUUGUUAAUAUGCAAGCGGCGAACAUUCUAUGAGAUGGUAGGAAAUCAAGUUUCCCGCUUCGAUUUUGACUAGAAUUAUAAGUGCUUGAACUUAGUAUCCAUAUUGGGACAAAAUGAGCCAUAGUGUCAUAAAGAGGCACUUGGCCGAGAGAAUUAUUAAACUGCUACAUAGAGGCUUGAUAAUAGGUCACGUUGACAUCAACUACAUUCCAUAUUUAAGAUAUGAUGAAAUAGUGAUUUGGCCACGAUGACAUUUAUUAUAUUCCAUGUUUGAGACAUGACGACCUAGAGAUAGGCCUAUGAGAUUGGUGACAUAUUCCAUGUUAUUAGACAUGAGGACUUGGUACUUGUGACAGAUCGUUUGACUACUUGCCAUUGUGCUCAUUCGCACAUGCUUGUGAGGGUCGCUCCCUACAAGCCGGCACUCCGGAGAUGGCCAUCGCGAUACAUAUUCGCCGUGCGGGAUUGGGCGCCGAAGUGGAUUGCCGUGGGCCAGGCUCACUCCUAGGGUGGGGGUGAUGACUACCACGGGGCCAUUAGGCUCGGCACCGGCCAGACAGCCUACGGGUGGGUCUCAGGGCCAUAGACAGCCUUCGGGUGGGUCUCUUCAGAUUUGACUUUGUGUAUCCAUUAUGACAUGUGGACAGAUGAGGAUUUAGUAUACUACUUGGACAUUGAUUAGAAUAGUAAACAACGGAACUUUACUAUUUCACAUUGUGAACAUCAUGAUAGUUGGAGACAUUUACUUCAUGCAUAGUUACUUUCAUACUGUUACUAUUCAUGCUAAGUAGAGAUAUCACGUCGUAAUAGGUUACAUUUUUACUUACCUGCCGCCUUUCUACUUUUAUAGUCACUGACAUCUUUUGUAGCUUUGGGCCUUGUGGUGCAUUCACUGAAGUCAGUAAUUGCCCACUGGGAACUAUUUUUAAUAGUUCUCAUGCCCCCGUUUUGUGGUUUACUUUUCAGAGCCUUCGGCACCGGCGGAGGCACGGGAUCGCGGCAAGGGGAUCGCUUAGCUAGCUAGCGAGGAGCGGUACUUUGCCUAGGUGGUUUACUCUUUCUUUUUGUAGUUGAGAGAGAGUGAGAGAUUUUGUAUCCAUGUAUAGAGACCACCUAUGUACCUACUUUUAACUCUUGUAUUUGGGAUUUCCUGUUGUUCUUACUCUAUGUUUCAUUAAGUGGAUUUACAGUUUUAUCCUUAUCCCUUGUUGUAGCAUUUAGACAUUUAUUAUGCUCUGAUACUCCUAGGUAUCUCUUAUUACUGCUUUUAUUAUCGUUGUUUUUAGACGCCUUAUAUGUUGUAGACAUAUGGCGGGUCUGGACACGCGUCGGACGGGCUUCCGCUGGGUCCCGGGGCGUGACAGAUUAAUUUGGUAUCAGAGCCUAGGGUUGAGUCUUAGGGGACCUAGUAAACCUUAGGCCGGUUGGACUAUAGGAAAUAGGCUCGUGAGAGACGAGGUCUAUUCGAUUUGUAAGCGAAAGUAUCUAGAUUGGGUAUCUUGAAUAACUCUAGAAAGUGGAGUUAAAUUGAAGUGUAUAACUCCUAACUUCGCGGAGGGUUACGUUGGCGGCCGACAACGUAACAUCGGGAGUUAGUAGUGAAGAACACUUCUUUACUUUCGCAUGAUUUGUGGGUUUGUCUUUUGAGUGGGGAUGCGAUAGCGUGAGUAUUUCUAACUUGCGCUUUUAUGUUUUGUAGUGACGAUGCCGAUUACUCGCUCCCAAUCUGCCGGGGCGGACAAUGCGGCAAACUUUGAGGAGGUCGAGACCUCCGCUACCUCCGGAUCCAGUGAGGUCCGUGAGUUGAGGGGCCAGUUUGCGGCCCUCACCGACUUGGUCACUCAGCAGGCAGAGGCGGCCCGACAGCAGACCGAGGCGGCGCGCCGACAGGAGGCGCGGAUGAAGCGUCUGGAGGACUUACUGUUGCAGCAGACGGCAGCUUCUAGGGAGACGCAGGGCCCUACACCGCCAGCACCAGUUGUGGAUGUUGCACCGAGAGCACCGUCCCCUGCGCCCAGUUCUUCGCGUGCGGCGCCUGCGGCCGUACCCCAGGAGGAGGUUUUGGUAGCACCACCUGUGCAGAGGCCCCCGGUUGGAGCAGCUUUCCCUACUUUGGUUGAGGGGGCGGAGCGAGAUAGACUGAUGGAGCGCCUCAAUGAGUUCAGGAGGUGCAGCCCCCGAGUCUUCGACGGCGAGAAGGUCGACCACUGGAUCGUGGAGAAGUGGUUGAUGCAUAUGGAGAAGCUCUUCCGCGACACCUUCGUGGAGGAGAGGGACAGAGUUUGGCUCGCCACUCACCACUUGGACGGCGAGGCCUACCGCUGGUGGUUGGAUUUUCAGGAGCACCCCAGCACUGACUUGGCAUCUAUCACUUGGACGAGGUUCAAGGAGCUUCUUCUGGCGCACUACUUCCCGACCAGCGUCAAGCGGAAGAUGGAGCAGGAUCUGCGCAACUUGCGCCAGGGCGACCGGACCGUAGCCGAGUACGAGAGGGAGUUUUCUCGCCUUCUGCAUUGCGUGCCCUUCGUCGUGCGGGACGACGAGGACAAGGCCCGCAUCUUCGAGCGAGGGUUGCGACCGUCGAUUUUCCGGUUUGUGCAAUCCUCUAACCUCCAAACCUACCGGGAGGUGGUGGAUCGCGCGCUCAUCGUGGAGAGCGGCGCAGCAGAGGUCCAGGAGCAGCGAGAGGCUAGGGACAAGGGUAAGGCCAAGAGGCCUGCGGCUGAGGGUGCGAGCCAGACGCACUCUAGGAGGCCGCCGAAGCAUCCGAGGAGCCAGCAGCGUGGACGCUGCUCGGCAGCGCAUCGAGGAGGAUCCGAGCGGCGCCGGCCUUCCCCGUGUGUGAUCUGCGGUGGUCCCCAUUAUCCACCGCAGUGUCCACAGCGGGCGGGCAGGUGUUUCCAGUGUGGCCAGGAGGGCCACGUGCGUACCGAGUGCCCGAGAGGUUCUUCACCGGCACCGUCGACUGCAUCGGCACCGGCUCUACCAGCCGUCAGCCACGGGACUCCGUCGACACAGUACCAGCCUGGGCGGCCACCCGUCCAGCGCCAGAGCGAGGGAUCUCGACAGGCCCCGAGUGGGCGCAUGUACGCCGCUCAGACCGAGGAGGCGGCAGCAGCCGAGGAUGUGGUUGCAGGUAUCAUUUUACUUGAUGGCAUUAGAGUUCGUGCUUUAUUUGAUACCGGUGCAUCGCAUUCAUUUAUAGAUCGGCUGUUUGCCGAGUUGCAUGGCAUCCCUUUGGUUCCUUUGUUGCAUACGGGACAUGUUGUGGUACCCGACCACAUCUUGGACAUUAGAGAGUUUAGCCCCAGUUGCCCUAUUCGGGUAGGAGAUUGGAUCAUGCCUAUAGAUUUGCUAGCUUUGCGCAAGCUUGGAAAUUUUGAUGUGGUCUUGGGCAUGGAUUGGUUGACCAAGUAUUAUGCCACGAUUGAUUGUAAGAAUCGCACGGUUACUUUUAGAGAACCUGGGCAGACCGAGGUGGUAUUUAGUGGAUUCCGGAGUUCGCUGUUUGCGAUGACGAUCAGCUCGUCUCGAGCUAGGCAGCUGAUUAGUAGAGGUUGUGUAGCCUAUUUGGCUAGUGUGGUACUGAGGGACGAAGAUGACACCCCUAGGAUUGAGGAUAUCCCGGUGGUGCGGGAGUUCCAGGAUGUGUUUCCAGCUGAGCUACCGGGUAUGCCUCCUGAUAGGGAGAUUUGAGUUUGUGGUAGAUCUCGUCCCUGGGACUACCCCAAUCUCAAAGGCACCCUAUAGGAUGGCACCGGCGGAGCUGAGGGAGCUGAGGGCACAGUUGCAGGAUUUGUUGGACAAAGGCUUCAUUUGACUGAGCGUUUCACCUUGGGGAGCGCCCGUUUUGUUCGUCAAGAAGAAAGACGGAUCACUUCGCCUUUGUGUGGAUUAUCGUGAACUUAAUAAGGUCACGAUCAAGAACAAGUAUCCGUUGCCAAGGAUCGACGACUUGUUUGAUCAGCUUCAGGGAUCAUGUGUGUAUUCCAAGAUCGACUUGCAGUCGGGAUACCACCAAUUAAAGGUCAAAUCGGAGGAUGUAUCAAAGACGGCUUUCAGGACACGGUAUGGACAUUAUGAGUUCACAGUUAUGCCGUUUGGGCUUACUAAUGCCCCGGCAGCUUUUAUGGAUCUGAUGAACCGUGUCUUUAAGCCUUAUCUAGACAGGUUCGUCGUGGUGUUCAUCGACGAUAUUUUGGUCUACUCUCGAAGUGAUGUAGAGCACGAGGAGCAUUUGAGAAUUGUACUCCAAGUACUUCGGGAAAAGGAGCUUUAUGCUAAGUUAAAGAAAUGUGAGUUUUGGCUUCGAGAGGUAGCUUUCCUUGGACACUUGAUUUCGGGAUCGGGUAUAGCCGUGGAUCCUAAGAAGAUUGAAGCAAUCAAGGAUUGGCCGAGACCGACGAGCGUCACGGAGAUACGGAGCUUCCUUGGGUUGGCCGGUUACUACCGGAGAUUUGUUGAGGGGUUUGCUAAACUGUCUACUCCCCUCACGAGACUCACGCAUAAAGGUGUUAAGUUCAUUUGGAAUGAUGCGUGCGAGCGAAGCUUCCAAGAGUUGAAGCAACGAUUGACUACCGCCCCAAUCCUGACCCUACCAGUAGCUGGAGCCGGGUAUGUGGUUUAUAGUGAUGCUUCACUUAAUGGAUUGGGCUGUGUGUUGAUGCAGGAUGGCAAGGUGAUCGCGUAUGUUUCUCGCCAGCUAAAGGAAUAUGAGAAGAACUACCCGACGCAUGAUUUGGAGUUGGCGGCCGUAGUGUUCGCAUUGAAGCUAUGGCGCCACUAUCUUUAUGGCGAGCGGUGUGAAGUAUACACGGAUCACAAGAGCUUAAAGUACCUAUUUACUCAGAAGGAGUUGAACUUGAGGCAGCGCAGAUGGUUGGAGCUACUCAAGGAUUAUGAUCUGACGAUUCUUUACCACCCGGGCAAGGCUAACGUGGUGGCGGAUGCGCUAAGUAGGAAAUCGAUGGAAAACUUAGCGAUGCAUGUUGUGACUCAACCGCAGUUGAUCGAGCAGAUGAAGCGGUUGGAGUUAGAGAUAGUGACUCCUGACACACCCUUGAGGUUGAUGACAUUAGUAGUGCAACUACCUUGUUGGACCGAAUUAAAGAAAAGCAAGCUUCCGAUGUGGAGUUGCAAAAGAUUAGGGGAAAAAUGGUUGAUGGUUGCACCGAUGAAUUCCUUGUGGACGACCGAGGGUUGAUGCGCUUUCGAGGACGACUAUGUGUUCCGGCGGACUCGGGAAUUAAAGAAGACAUUCUUCAAGAAGCGCACCGGGCGCCCUAUGCUAUACAUCCGGGAGGCACCAAAAUGUAUAAGGACUUAAAGUUGCUCUAUUGGUGGCCUGGGAUGAAAAAGGAUGUUGGCGAGUUUGUAGCUAAAUGCUUAACCUGCCAACAAGUGAAGGCUGAGCACCGAGUUCCCGCGGGGAAGCUUCAGAGUUUGCCUAUUCCAGUGUGGAAGUGGGAGAAGAUCACUAUGGACUUUGUGACAGGAUUGCCACGCUCACAGGCGGGGCAUGACGCUAUUUGGGUGAUCGUGGAUAGGCUGACGAAGUCGGCGCACUUCAUACCUAUUCAUACGACUUGGACCGGAGAGAAGCUCGCACAAGUGUACCUUGAUGAGAUUGUGCGACUUCAUGGAGUGCCUACAUCGAUUGUAUCUGAUCGCGACACACGCUUCCUGUCUCACUUUUAGAGGAGUCUACAGGACGCCCUAGGCACUCGUCUGGACUUCAGUACUGCUUUCCACCCGCAGAGUGAUGGGCAGUCAGAGCGCACUAUUCAGACCUUAGAGGAUAUGCUCCGGGCAUGUGUGAUAGACUUCCAGGGAGGAUGGUCGCAGUAUCUACCUAUGGCGGAGUUUGCUUAUAACAACAGUUAUCAAGCAAGCAUCAAGUGUACCUUGAUGAGAUUGUGCGACUUGGACCGGAGAGAAGCUCGCCAGGGUGACAGGACUAGCCGAGUACGAGAGGGAGUUUUCUCGGCUUCUGCAUUGCGUGCCCUUCGUCGUGCGGGACGACGAGGACAAGGCCCGCAUCUUCGAGCGAGGGUUGAGACCGUCUAUCUUUCGGUUCGUGCAAUCCUCUAACCUCCAAACCUACCGGGAGGUGGUGGAUCGCGCGCUCAUUGUGGAGAGCGGCACGGCAGAGGUUCAGGAGCAGCGAGAUGCUAGGGACAAGGGUAAGGCCAAGAGGCCUGCGGCUGAGGGUGCGAGCCAGACGCACUCUAGGAGGCCGCCGAAGCAUCCGAGGAGCCAGCAGCGUGGGCGUGGCUCGGCGACUCACCGUGGAGGUUCCGACCGACGCCGACCUCCCGAGUGCGU
This 9188-nucleotide long non-coding RNA is filed under the name Ananas comosus (pineapple). Its description in RNAcentral is "long non-coding RNA (ACOM_LNC039555)". The record is from RNAcentral. Lineage: Eukaryota; Viridiplantae; Streptophyta; Magnoliopsida; Poales; Bromeliaceae.